CCCUUAGAUGUUCUGGGCCGCACGCGCGCUACACUGACGGAGGCAGCGAGCAUGUCCUUCGCCGAGAGGUGUGGGGAAUCUUGUGAGUCUCCGUCGUGCUGGGGAUAGAUGGUUGCAAUUGUCGAUCUUGAACGAGGAAUUCCUAGUAAGCGCGAGUCAUCAGCUCGCGCUGAUUACGUCCCUGCCCUUUGUACACACCGCCCGUCGCUACUACCGAUUGGAUGGCUUAGCGAGAAUUUUGGAUCGGAGCCCGGGUGGUCGACAACGGUCGCCCGGGAGAUCUGAGAAAUCAUUCCAGCUUGGUCAUCUAGAGGAAGUAAAAGUCGUAACA
RNAcentral lists this ribosomal RNA (331 nucleotides) under uncultured eukaryote. RNAcentral describes it as "partial 18S ribosomal RNA". It matches the Rfam family "Eukaryotic small subunit ribosomal RNA", at positions 1470 to 1796 of the family's 1831-position model. The record is from RNAcentral.